ACACCAGGUCACCCUGAAGGGAUGCACCCUGGGCUUCUACCCUGAGAACAUCCUGACCUGGCAGCAUGAUGUGCCCCCUCCUCCUCAAUCCUUCAUCCCUACCAUGGCAUCAUGGUGGCAUCAAUGCUGGCCUGGUUUUCCUUGGAGCUGUGUUCACUGUAGCUGUGCUGAUUGGAGCUGAAGUUGUGAUGUGGAUGAAGAAUCGCUCAGUCCUGCUCUGGAUCUUCAGUCACAGUUCAGGAAACUUCCCUGUGGCCCAGGACUAGGGGAUUUCUUCAGGGCUUCAUGGGCUGACUCCUCCCUGGUCUCACAUGAUGUUUCUUCCUGCAGUAGACAAGAAGGAAGCAGCACUCAGGCUGCAGGCAGUGACAGUGCCCAGGGCUCUGAUGUGUCUCUCAGCCUCUAACGGUGAGACCCUGGAGGUCUGCAGUGGGAGGGGCUGGGGCA
Long non-coding RNA from Talpa occidentalis (Iberian mole), 447 nucleotides. RefSeq lists it as uncharacterized. NCBI's taxonomy places the organism in Eukaryota, Metazoa, Chordata, Mammalia, Eulipotyphla, Talpidae. The record is from RefSeq and is a predicted model, not a curated record. The transcript has 4 exons.